Molecule: ribosomal RNA, 489 nt
Filed under: Streptomyces sp. SID14446
Lineage: Bacteria; Bacillati; Actinomycetota; Actinomycetes; Kitasatosporales; Streptomycetaceae
Description: partial 23S ribosomal RNA
Rfam family: Bacterial large subunit ribosomal RNA
Source: RNAcentral
CGUCGCUCAACGGAUAAAAGGUACCCCGGGGAUAACAGGCUGAUCUUCCCCAAGAGUCCAUAUCGACGGGAUGGUUUGGCACCUCGAUGUCGGCUCGUCGCAUCCUGGGGCUGGAGUCGGUCCCAAGGGUUGGGCUGUUCGCCCAUUAAAGCGGUACGCGAGCUGGGUUUAGAACGUCGUGAGACAGUUCGGUCCCUAUCCGCUGUGCGCGUAGGAAUAUUGAGAAGGGCUGUCCCUAGUACGAGAGGACCGGGACGGACGAACCUCUGGUGUGCCAGUUGUCCUGCCAAGGGCAUGGCUGGUUGGCUACGUUCGGGAGGGAUAACCGCUGAAAGCAUCUAAGCGGGAAGCCUGCUUCGAGAUGAGUAUUCCCACCCCCUUGAGGGGUUAAGGCUCCCAGUAGACGACUGGGUUGAUAGGCCAGAUCUGGAAGGCGGGUAACCGCUGGAGGUGACUGGUACUAAUAGGCCGAGGGCUUGUCCUCAGUUG